Long non-coding RNA from Bos taurus (domestic cattle), 2999 nucleotides. NCBI's taxonomy places the organism in Eukaryota, Metazoa, Chordata, Mammalia, Artiodactyla, Bovidae. The record is from Ensembl.
GUAUGAGGUGGGGCCGCCCAAAUUCAUUUUUAACAAGAUCCUAGAUGAUGUCAAUGCUGCUAUUGUGGGGUCCACUGCAUCGAAAACCCACAGGCCAGUGGCCAACAGAUUUCGGAUGUUCUGAUGUUACCAGUAGAAGAUGGUGGAAGAAUAGGAUGGGGAGACCACUUUCUCCCCCACAAAUUCAUCGAAAGAACAUUUGAACGCUGAGCAACUUCCACAAAACAACUUCUGAACGCUGGCAGAGGACAUCAGGCACCCAGAAAGUCAGUCCAUUGUCUUCCAAAGGAGUUAGGACAAAAUAUAAAAGAUGAAAAGAGAGACAAAAGAAUUAGGGACAGAGACCCAUCCUGGGAAGGGAGUCUUAAAAGAGAAGUUUCCAAACACUAGGAAACUCUCUCACCGGCGGGUCUGUGGGGAGUUUUGGAAUCUCAGAGGGCAACAUAACUGGGAGGAAAAAUAAAUAUAUAAAUAAAACCCACAGAUUAUGUGCCUAACAGCAACUCCUAGCAGAGAAAGUAGCCCAGACGCUCGCAUCCACCACCAGCAAGUGGGGGCUGAACAGGGAGGCGUGGGCUGCAGUUGCUUAGGGUAAGGACCGGGGCUGAAUGCCCUGAGGUUCAAUCUGAGGGAGCUAACGUGAGACAGCAACCCAAACUGUGGGAUAGCCAGAAAGAGAGAGAAAAAAAAAAAAGAGGAAAGAGAGAGAGACAGAACUUUCCCAUGAAAAUCUCUAACCUAAGGCACUGCCGGUGGCUCACAGAACAAAGGACUGAGCGAAUACCAGAGGAGAGUUAGCCGGCUGCAGACCGGCUCAUCCCCCACUGGAGGCAGGGAGGCAGGCAGGCAGGCAGGCAGGUGGGAGGCAGCCAGAGCCGGAAAGGGGCAAUCUCGCCCCUGAGACGGCAUCCUCUACCAAACUGUGAGCAGGCUCCCAGUUGCUAACGAAGACUUCCUGGGAUUCUGGACUCUUGACAUCCGCUGGGAGGGUUGCAGCCAGAGAUCAGCGCACCAGAGGAGACAGAUGGCACACCUGAGACGACGCUCCUGCUAUGCACCUAGGAAACCAAGCGGCUGGGACAGGAGAGGUGAUAAGAUGCACCACCCCACCUGGGGAGAGUGUGCUUGCCAAGCACCUGGUCGCCUGAGCUGCUCAGACGUGGGAAGGGCACAAAAUGCAGGCCCAGCCGAGUCUGUGCCUUUGUGGAGUACCUGAGAACCUGAACCUGAGCAGCUUAGACCUGGGAAGUACACGCACCGAGGGCCCACUUUAGACAGUUCCCCUGCAGAGCAGCCUGGAGCCUGAGCAGUGUAGAUUUGGAAAGCACACUCGCUGUGAGCAGGGGCAAACCCAGUGUGGCCCAGACACUGGGAGCACUCCCCUCAUACACCAGUGAUAUUUGUUUGCAGUGUUCCUCCCUCCCCACAGCACGAUUGAACAAGUGAGCCUAAAUAAGUGACCACCUUCACCCCCUUGUGUCAGGGCAGAAAUUAGACACUGAAGGGACUUGAAAACAGAAGCCAAAAUAGAGGGAACCGCUUUGGAAGUGACAGGUGCAACAGAUUAAAACCCUGGAGUUAGCACCAACUACAUUGGAAGGGGCCUAUAGAUCUUGAGAAGUAUAAGCUGGAACAAGGAACUAUCUGAAACUGAACUGACCCCACACUGCCCACAACAGCUCCAGAGAAAUUCCUAGAUAGAUUUUUACUAUUAUCAUUUUUUAAAUUAAAAAUUUUUUUUAAAAUUUUAAGCCCUCUAUUACUCCUUUAAUUUUCAUUUUUAUAACCUACUAUUACCUUGCAAAAAAAAAAGACCCUAUUUUUAAAGCAAACUUCAUAUAUAUUUUUUAUAAUUUUGUGAUUUUGUUUUGUUUUUUUUUAAUAUUGUAUUUUUGAGAGUCUGACCUCUACUCUAGAUUUUUAAUCUUUGCUUUUUGGUAUUUGUUAUCAAUUUUGUACCUUUAAUAAUUCAAUCUUCAAUACCUAUCUUUACUUAAGGGUGUGAUUACUGGCUUGAUUACUCUCUCCCCCUUUUCACUCUCCUAUUUCUAAAUAGAGGGACACCUCUCUGGGUGUCCCUCACUGUGGAGAAACUUUUCAUCAUUAACCUAGAUGUUUUAUCAUUGGUGCUGUAUAAAUGGAGAAGUCUUGAGACUACUCUAAGAAUAAGACUGAAAACCAGAAGCAGGAGGCUUAAGUCCAAAUCCUGAGAACACCAGAAAACUCCUGACUCCAGGGAACAUUAAUCGACAGGAGCUCAUCAAAAAGCCUCCAUACCUACACUGAAACCAAGCACCACCCAAGGGCCAACAAGUUCCAGAGCAAGACAUGCCAUGCAAGUUCUCCAGCAGCACAGGAACACAGCCCUGAACUUCAAUAUACAGGCUGCCCAAAGUCACACCAAACCCAUAGACAUCUCAAAACUCACUACUGGACACUUCAUUGCACUCCAGAGUGAAGAAAUAUAGCUGCACCCACCAGAACACUGACACAAGCUUCCCUAACCAGGAAACCUUGACAAGCCACUCGUCCAACCCCAUUCAUGGGGAGGAACCUCCACAGUAAAGAGGAACCACAAACUGCCAGAAUACAGAAAGGCCACCCCAAACACAGCAAUCUAAACAAGAUGAAAAGGCAGAGAAAUACUCGGCAGCUGAGUAAAUGCCCACCAAACCAAACAAAAGAGGAGGAAAUAGAGAGUCUGCCUGAAAAAGAAUUCAGAAUAAUGAUAGUAAAAAUGAUCCAAAAUCUUGAAAACAAAAUGGAGUUACAGAUAAAUAGCCUGGAUACAAGGAUUGAGAAGAUGCAAGAAAUGUUUAACAAAGACCUAGAAGAAAUAAAAAAAGAGCCAAUCAAUAAUGAAUAAUGCAAUAACUGAGAUCAAAAACAUUCUGGAGGGAAUCAACAGUAGGAUAACGGAGGCAGAAGAUAGGAUAAGUGAGGUAGAAAAUAGAAUGGUAGAAAUAAAUGAAGCAGAGAGGAAAAAAGAAAAAAGAAUC